GUUUACAGCCAUCUUAAAUUCCUCAUAGAAAAGGGGGAAGGAGCCCAGAGGGGAGGGGAAGUCCCCGGGGGUGGGGGGCGGCACCCCAGCCCCGACAAGGACGUCCCCCGGGCAGCUUGCCCCAACCAGGGCACGCCGAGGGCCACAGCAUUAAAAACCCCCACACCCCAUGUUAUCAAAACCAAAGAGGCAAAAAAAAGUACCCUUCCCCCCCAAAACCCAAAUAUAUAUAUAUAUUUAUAUACUUCUUAAAAAACAAAACUUCGAAGGCAUUAAGCGUUAAAGUGAAUCUAAACAAGGGAAUGUGAAUUCCCUCUUCCCUUCCCCCUUACUGUGGGGUUAAUGGUACAUCCCCAGCAGAGGAACCAGCCCCAAGGGGAUGGCAGAGGGGAAGGACCAAAGGGAGCAAAGGGUGGGGGCCUCCCCAGCCAAUCAGCAGCCAGUACGGGUGUGGGCACGGUGCAGGGAAGCAGGGUAACAGGCGGGGUGUGCGGAAAGAAGUGGGCCCCUGCGGUCAGGGGGAGCCCCGCUUCCUCAGCUCCUGGACAAAGGCUGGAAGGAAAGAGGGGGCAAAGCUCAGGGCAGGGGCUCUUUCCCCUUCCGUUCCAAUCUUCCCAAAAGACAGGCGGCCUCCAAACCACACAGGCGCCUCACGGGGCGCGGGCAGGCGCCUCACCUUCGAUGAUCUCCUCUUUCACCUUCCGCAGCUCCUUCCUCACCUCCUCCAGCAGCUCCUGGAACCACAGGGUUCACCAGUGGGCGGGGCCCGGAGCGGCAGGAAGCCCCCUGUCUCCCACUCGCUGAGAGUCGGAGGAAGCGGGCUGGAGACCGCCCGGCCCCGCCCUCCCUGCCAAGGUCACAGAGAGAACUGGAGGGCAUCCAGGACACAGGCUGGCAAACGCCUCCCAGCCUCCUGCCAGCUCCGGCGGGGUCUCAGGUGCUCAUCGGAAAGGAGUGUGGUGAUGGAUUAUAAGGCCUGUCACAGCCGUUGAAAGGGGUGCGGCACCUGCGUCAUCCCUGACCCCGCCGAUGGCUCCCCCUUCUCAGACCGGACACCCAGGGUCUGGACCCAGCGCCCCUCCUGCCGUGGGCCCUGGCUAGGCCCCCACCUGCACCUUCCACCCCUACCUGUUUCACCCGCUCCAGGUCCGAGUCGUCACCGGAGCUGUGGUGGGAGGGGUGGGCCUCGGGGGUGGCCACCGAAGACGAGGACUUCAUCCUGGGGGGGACAGAAGCGAAGUCAGAGGCCCUGCCACCCGCGGAGGCGCCGCGCCCGCCGCGCCCCCCGCGCCCGCUGCGCCCGCCGCGCCCGCCGGCCCUCCUGGGCAAGGUUGAGCUCCUCUUCUCCCAGGGCCUCCGUCAAGAUUCUGGUGAAGAGACCAACAUGCCGCGGGGUCGGGGCAAAAGCUUCCUCCCCCCAUAGUAGCCCCGCUGAAGAAAAACG
RNAcentral lists this long non-coding RNA (1444 nucleotides) under Oryctolagus cuniculus (rabbit). RNAcentral describes it as "lncRNA (ENSOCUG00000032410.1)". The record is from RNAcentral. Lineage: Eukaryota; Metazoa; Chordata; Mammalia; Lagomorpha; Leporidae.